This 67-nucleotide transfer RNA is filed under the name Phalantus geniculatus. RNAcentral's name for it is "tRNA-Trp". The record is from RNAcentral. Lineage: Eukaryota; Metazoa; Arthropoda; Insecta; Hemiptera; Reduviidae.
AAAGCUUUAAGUUAAUAAAACUAUUAACCUUCAAAGUUAAAAUUACAAAUAAUUUGUGUAAGCUUUA